GUGUCAGCAGCCGCGGUAAUACCAGCUCUCCGAGUGGUGGGGACGUUUAUUGGGCCUGAAGCAUCCGUAGCCAGCUGAGCAAGUCCCCAGUUAAAUCCAGCGAUUUAAUCGUUGGACUGCUGGGGAUACUGUCCGGCUUGGGGGUGGGAGAGGCCGACGGUAUUCCCGGGGUAGGGGUGAAAUCCUAUAAUCCCGGGAGGACCACCAGUGGCGAAGGCUGUUGGCUAAAACAUGCCCGACGGUGAGGGAUGAAAGCUGGGGGAGCGAACCGGAUUAGAUACCCGGGUAGUCCCAGCUGUAAACGAUGCAGGCUAGGUGUUAGGGCGGCCACGUGCCGCUCUAGUGCCGCAGGGAAGCUGUUAAGCCUGCCGCCUGGGGAGUACGGCCGCAAGGCUGAAACUUAAAUGAAUUGGCGGGG
RNAcentral lists this ribosomal RNA (418 nucleotides) under uncultured prokaryote. Its description in RNAcentral is "bacterial SSU rRNA". It matches the Rfam family "Archaeal small subunit ribosomal RNA", at positions 455 to 873 of the family's 1478-position model. The record is from RNAcentral.